Molecule: long non-coding RNA, 1024 nt
Filed under: Olea europaea (common olive)
Lineage: Eukaryota; Viridiplantae; Streptophyta; Magnoliopsida; Lamiales; Oleaceae
Description: long non-coding RNA (OEUR_LNC009521)
Source: RNAcentral
CCCAAUUGACCACCGAUUGAAAGAGAAAGCAAAAAGGAAAAGAGAGAAGCAGAAACAAGGAGCUGAAAUUGAAUUUCUGGAUAGGUGAUUUUUCGACGUUGAGUGAAAAAGGAAAGUGAUAUAAUCUCCGUAGGAGCUUGUGCACACACAAGGGCAAAAAGGUAAGUAAAAAAAUCCAUUUGCAACUACGAUACAAUAACCUAGCAUUUGUGGUAUAGUGAUAUUAGGAUAUCUUCAUACUUUGAUAAGAAAGCUCGUUGUACCCUAUAUGAUGAUUUUGAUCAUUGAGUAUGCGGUUGCAAAAUACAUUGACAUCAACUUCCAUUAAGCAUGUCAUUCAUGAGCAUUUUCGUUGGCAUGCACAACAUAUGAUCAUGGUUGAAAACUUUGCAUGCGAAACAUGAUUUCAAUGUAAGUUUUCUUUAUAAAUGUUUUAUUGUCCACUACUAGGGCACCGAGGCAUGCUUAUGUGAUACGUUUGGCAUCGCGGGUGAUACUUCCUGAGUGAUUGCAAAGGUAGACAGGGGAUGGGCCUUUGGUGAUCACGGGAGGGUGGACCACUCGACUAUGCCCUUGUUAUGAUUAGUGGCGUUGCCGGGUGGGAGACUUCUUGGGUUAUCAUAGGGGUAGUUAGGGAAUGGGUCUCUAGCGGUCACGAGAGGAUGGUCCACUCACCGGUGUCGAUUUCAUAUUGGCCACUUGAUUAUUGAUAUUGAUAUUAUGCAGAGCUCUAUCCGGUGCAUAGUUGGUGGGUCAAGGGCCCAAUAAAAUGAAAGAUUUCAAAUGAAAUAAUUUCGAGUCGACUUUGAUGAAUAUUGGAAAAUGAUGCAUCUUUAGCAUGAUGUUUAAAGUAAAUGACAUGGUGUCACAUAUCCUUGUUACUUAUACUCAUGACAUGCAUGAUUCUUGCUUACUAAGCAUUGGCUUAUGUAGUUCUUGCAUUAUAGGUGAGCAUGGAACUAUGUAGAGGGCACGGCUAGCUGUGGAGCUCUUACGGGAUUCCAAGGAUCAAUGUACAUGGAUG